UGAGGAAUAUUGGUCAAUGGGCGAGAGCCUGAACCAGCCACGUCGCGUGAAGGAAGACUGACCUUACGGUUUGUAAACUUCUUUUGUAGAGGGGUAAUGGCAGAUACGUGUAUUUGCGUGAAAGUACUCUACGAAUAAGCAACGGCUAACUCCGUGCCAGCAGCCGCGGUAAUACGGGGGAUGCGAGCGUUAUCCGGAAUUAUUGGGUUUAAAGGGUGCGCAGGUGGCUAAUCAGGUCAGUGGUGAAAAGCUAUGGCUCAACCAUGGUCUUGCCAUUGAAACCGUAUAGCUAGAGAGGAGACGAGGUAGGCGGAAUGUGUGGUGUAGCGGUGAAAUGCAUAGAUAUCACACAGAACUCCGAUUGCGAAGGCAGCUUACCAGGCUUUAUCUGACACUUAGGCACGACAGCGUGGGGAUCAAACAGG
RNAcentral lists this ribosomal RNA (425 nucleotides) under Verrucomicrobiota bacterium. RNAcentral describes it as "Verrucomicrobia bacterium partial 16S ribosomal RNA". It matches the Rfam family "Bacterial small subunit ribosomal RNA", at positions 355 to 776 of the family's 1533-position model. The record is from RNAcentral. Lineage: Bacteria; Pseudomonadati; Verrucomicrobiota.